RNAcentral lists this ribosomal RNA (760 nucleotides) under uncultured bacterium. RNAcentral's name for it is "bacterial SSU rRNA". It matches the Rfam family "Bacterial small subunit ribosomal RNA", at positions 1 to 795 of the family's 1533-position model. The record is from RNAcentral.
CGAUUAGAGUUUGAUCCUGGCUCAGAACGAACGCUGGCGGCAGGCUUAACACAUGCAAGUCGAGCGCAUCCUUCGGGGUGAGCGGCAGACGGGUGAGUAACGCGUGGGAAUCUACCUUUUGCUACGGAAUAGCUCCGGGAAACUGGAAUUAAUACCGUAUGUGCUCUUUGGCGGUGGACGCUGGAGAGGAAAGAUUUAUCGGCAAAGGAUGAGCCCGCGUUGGAUUAGCUAGUUGGUGGGGUAAAGGCCUACCAAGGCGACGAUCCAUAGCUGGUCUGAGAGGAUGAUCAGCCACAUUGGGACUGAGACACGGCCCAAACUCCUACGGGAGGCAGCAGUGGGGAAUAUUGGACAAUGGGCGCAAGCUGAUCCAGCCAUGCCGCGUGUGUGAUGAAGGCCUUAGGGUUGUAAAGCACUUUCACCGGUGAAGAUAAUGACGGUAACCGGAGAAGAAGCCCCGGCUAACUUCGUGCCAGCAGCCGCGGUAAUACGAAGGGGGCUAGCGUUGUUCGGAAUUACUGGGCGUAAAGCGCACGUAGGCGGAUAUUUAAGUCAGGGGUGAAAUCCCAGAGCUCAACUCUGGAACUGCCUUUGAUACUGGGUAUCUUGAGUAUGGAAGAGGUGAGUGGAAUUCCGAGUGUAGAGGUGAAAUUCGUAGAUAUUCGGAGGAACACCAGUGGCGAAGGCGGCUCACUGGUCCAUAACUGACGCUGAGGUGCGAAAGCGUGGRGAGCAAACAGGAUUAGAUACCCUGGUAGUC